GCUGUUUACUGCUCCGGUGAAUGGUGGCCUGCCGUGCCACCCUGCUGCUUGGAGCCAGCUAAGUAUGGACCGAAACCUCCAAAACUGGCUGUUGAUUGCCUCCGUUAACCCAAGAUGAUGGAAAUCUUUCCACUGAGGAAACCCAAAGGGUAUAAUCAAGUUAAAGAAACAUCUCGCUACAUAAAAAGCCCAGCCUUGGUACCUGGAGCACACAAGUCGACAUUCACCCAAGGACUUUGGCCCUUGUGGUCUUCGCUCAACGUUUGAUCUGCUGUGGUUCUUCCAGGACUUUUUAGAGUCCUUUCCCUCCAACUGUGCUUCUACCAAGGCUUGGACCACAGUCAGCCCUGUGUGAUUUCAAAUGCACAUGUCCCCACCACCUCUGG
This is a long non-coding RNA of Cavia porcellus (domestic guinea pig), 386 nucleotides long. RefSeq lists it as uncharacterized. The record is from RefSeq and is a predicted model, not a curated record. NCBI's taxonomy places the organism in Eukaryota, Metazoa, Chordata, Mammalia, Rodentia, Caviidae. The transcript is spliced from 3 exons.